GAUGAACGCUGGCGGCGUGCCUAAUACAUGCAAGUCGAGCGAACGGACGAGAAGCUUGCUUUUCUGAUGUUAGCGGCGGACGGGUGAGUAACACGUGGAUAACCUACCUAUAAGACUGGGAUAACUUCGGGAAACCGGAGCUAAUACCGGAUAAUAUUUUGAACCGCAUGGUUCAAAAGUGAAAGACGGUCUUGCUGUCACUUAUAGAUGGAUCCGCGCUGCAUUAGCCAGUUGGUAAGGUAACGGCUUACCAAGGCAACGAUGCAUAGCCGACCUGAGAGGGUGAUCGGCCACACUGGAACUGAGACACGGUCCAGACUCCUACGGGAGGCAGCAGUAGGGAAUCUUCCGCAAUGGGCGAAAGCCUGACGGAGCAACGCCGCGUGAGUGAUGAAGGUCUUCGGAUCGUAAAACUCUGUUAUUAGGGAAGAACAUAUGUGUAAGUAACUGUGCACAUCUUGACGGUACCUAACCAGAAAGCCACGGCUAACUACGUG
Molecule: ribosomal RNA, 497 nt
Filed under: uncultured bacterium
Lineage: Bacteria
Description: partial 16S ribosomal RNA
Rfam family: Bacterial small subunit ribosomal RNA
Source: RNAcentral